UCCAUUGCUCCUGAGGACUACAAUUCAUGCGCUUCAUCAGCAUCUCCUCAACCUCUUCUAGCUAUACCAAGCGGUGAAGCAUCAGAUGAAUUGGCGGACAUGGUUUGGACUGCAAAUUCAGAUGAGCAACAACAUCAAAAUACUAACACAAAUAAUGAUGCAUCCUUGGCAAACUCAAGUAGCCGCAAUUCCUCUAAACCGCAAAGCCCGAAAGGCUCCAUUGGAUUAGCUAGUGAUCAGUUUGGCAUUGGCGGAGAUUACUCUCACCAGGGCUACUUCUCAUUACAGGGUUCAAAAUACGAAGAUGGCAACAGUGAGACUGAUAAUUCCAAUGAAAAUCGGCUAGGCAAUUUAGGUUUAGUUCACAAGAUCCCAAUGUUUGCACUUUGGAACGAGUGAGGUAGUGAAUUUCUCAAGAAUUUGAGACACUUAUCAGCGAUAGAGAAGUUUAGUUUUAGUUUCUUCACUAAAGAAAACUGGUUAGAAAGAGGGUAGGAUAUGUAACACAGGAUAUCAUGGAAUUCAAUGGUCUUUAAUUAGUGCUUUAGUUCCGAAUGAAAUUAACUAACUGUUCUCUACCUUAUCAAAAUGUCUAAUACAAAGAUGAGGCAAUUGGUUUGUUAUUUGCUGUCUGACUCUAUUUAUGUAUUUAGUGAUUUUUUUCUUUUGUAACUAGAUAUAUUUUCGGUGUUCUAAUAGUUGAUCAUAAAUGUAUUUCAUUCUGAGUAAAGAAUGAAGUGAACAAUCAUUACAGUUCAUGGUCAAUUCAAACCUUCAUUGCACCAUUAAUACUCCCCCGCAAGGAAUCUAGUAAAGUUGAAAGCGAUGCAACAUUCAUUCAUUGAGCUUGAAAGGAAAGGACAUG
Molecule: long non-coding RNA, 865 nt
Filed under: Gossypium barbadense (sea-island cotton)
Lineage: Eukaryota; Viridiplantae; Streptophyta; Magnoliopsida; Malvales; Malvaceae
Description: long non-coding RNA (GBAR_LNC015237)
Source: RNAcentral